UCUCCAUUGGUGAACCAGCGGAGGGAUCAUUAUCGAGUUUAUAACUCCCAAACCCUAUGUGAACUUACCACUUGUUGCUUCGGCGCGCGCUUCGGUGCCGCCGAGGACACUUAAACUCUUUGUUUUUAUAAGCAUUUCUGAGUGGCCGAAAGGCAAAAUACAAAUGAAUCAAAACUUUCAACAACGGAUCUCUUGGUUCUG
This 201-nucleotide unclassified non-coding RNA is filed under the name plant metagenome. RNAcentral's name for it is "partial contains small subunit ribosomal RNA, internal transcribed spacer 1, and 5.8S ribosomal RNA". The record is from RNAcentral.